Molecule: long non-coding RNA, 819 nt
Filed under: Sus scrofa (pig)
Lineage: Eukaryota; Metazoa; Chordata; Mammalia; Artiodactyla; Suidae
Description: lncRNA (ENSSSCG00015013302.1, ENSSSCG00025032240.1)
Source: RNAcentral
CUGAAGCCUGAGGAGUUCAAGGUCAUAUGACAGGGCUGUUACCUCAAGAAGAAGGUCCCAUCUGUUUCCUGGAAUGUGUCUACACUGCUGCUCUCGUCAACUGGCUGCAAAUACGCUCGUGGAAAACAACCUGAUGUAAUUUCUGCCCAGUCAGCUUCAUCUCUCAGUAUAGUUGUAAAUCACCCCAGAUUCUACAGCCGCACCUGAAGACAUGCUCUCACACAUAGAUGUACACAAACACACCCUCAUACCCAUUUCAGCUGGCAUCUGUCAUGAUUCCUGUCAAGAGGGCUUUCGUUGUCUGACUCAUAAUUGUUUAGGAUAAACGAUCAAGAGAAAGGAUUAACUAGACAGUGAUGGGUUUUCAGCACUUGCUGUUGUGGAAAUCUCCUUUAAAGUCUUGAGUACAUGCUAAUCAAUAAUCCUCACUCAUGCAUUUCUACUGCUUGGAGUAGCUGUACUGGUAAAUACUACUGUAGGAGUAUAUGCUUGUUAAAAUGGAAAAAAAAAUGUGUCUUUAGAACUCAGUAUUCUUUAUUUUAUGAACACAACACGUGUAGUAACUUUUUCCCAGCAUAUAGUAGGCACAUUCAAGGUGAUUCAAGAUGGCUCUUUUUUCUGUGGAGGGAGCCUGUUCUCAGUAAAGAUGAGCAAACAUUUGGAAUUUACAUGUGGGCAGACACUGGAUUACAGCUUUCAUCACCAAUCAUUGGACUUUUGCAAAGUCGAGACCAGCUAAGGCUGCUUAAAACAAGUUCUGAUCAUUAUAUAAGAAGGAAAAUGCCUGACAGACACCAUAUGUCUGAAGAUUGUGACUGA